UGGGGAAUAUUCCACAAUGGGCGCAAGCCUGAUGCAGCCAUGCCGCGUGUAUGAAGAAGGCCUUCGGGUUGUAAAGUACUUUCAGUCGGGAGGAAGGUGGUAAGGUUAAUAACCUUAUCAAUUGACGUUACCGACAGAAGAAGCACCGGCUAACUCCGUGCCAGCAGCCGCGGUAAUACGGAGGGUGCAAGCGUUAAUCGGAAUUACUGGGCGUAAAGCGCACGCAGGCGGUCUGUCAAGUCGGAUGUGAAAUCCCCGGGCUCAACCUGGGAACUGCAUUCGAAACUGGCAGGCUAGAGUCUUGUAGAGGGGGGUAGAAUUCCAGGUGUAGCGGUGAAAUGCGUAGAGAUCUGGAGGAAUACCGGUGGCGAAGGCGGCCCCCUGGACAAAGACUGACGCUCAGGUGCGAAAGCGUGGGGAGCAAACAGG
Molecule: ribosomal RNA, 429 nt
Filed under: Chloroflexota bacterium
Lineage: Bacteria; Bacillati; Chloroflexota
Description: Chloroflexi bacterium partial 16S ribosomal RNA
Rfam family: Bacterial small subunit ribosomal RNA
Source: RNAcentral